RNAcentral lists this unclassified non-coding RNA (331 nucleotides) under uncultured fungus. Its description in RNAcentral is "partial contains small subunit ribosomal RNA, internal transcribed spacer 1, and 5.8S ribosomal RNA". The stretch from base 1 to 73 matches the Rfam family "Eukaryotic small subunit ribosomal RNA", at positions 1759 to 1831 of the family's 1831-position model. The record is from RNAcentral. Lineage: Eukaryota; Fungi.
GCAAACUUGGUCAUUUAGAGGAAGUAAAAGUCGUAACAAGGUUUCCGUAGGUGAACCUGCGGAAGGAUCAUUAAUGAGUUGUGAAAGGGUUUGAUGCUGGCAGCCAAUUUUUGGAUGCAUGUGCUCGCCUUAACAAUCAUCUUCCAAACACCCGUGCACAUUUUUGAGGGAGUUUUGAGUUAAUUGCCGCAUUUUUGGUGGUUUCCUCGUGCUCCCUUGAAUUUAUUAUACGCUAUCGACAAAUGUUGAACGUGCUUGUGCCGCAAGGCCUUAAUAUAAUACAACUUUUAACAACGGAUCUCUUGGCUCUCGCAUCGAUGAAGAACGCAGC